This 251-nucleotide ribosomal RNA is filed under the name uncultured Lactobacillus sp. RNAcentral's name for it is "partial 16S ribosomal RNA". It matches the Rfam family "Bacterial small subunit ribosomal RNA", at positions 114 to 350 of the family's 1533-position model. The record is from RNAcentral. Lineage: Bacteria; Bacillati; Bacillota; Bacilli; Lactobacillales; Lactobacillaceae.
CACGUGGGGAACCUGCCCCAUAGUCUGGGAUACCACUUGGAAACAGGUGCUAAUACCGGAUAAGAAAGCAGAUCGCAUGAUCAGCUUUUAAAAGGCGGCGUAAGCUGUCGCUAUGGGAUGGCCCCGCGGUGCAUUAGCUAGUUGGUAAGGUAAAGGGCUUACCAAGGCGAUGAUGCAUAGCCGAGUUGAGAGACUGAUCGGCCACAUUGGGACUGAGACACGGCCCAAACUCCUACGGGAGGCAAGCAGCC